RNAcentral lists this ribosomal RNA (481 nucleotides) under uncultured Methanosaeta sp. Its description in RNAcentral is "bacterial SSU rRNA". It matches the Rfam family "Archaeal small subunit ribosomal RNA", at positions 856 to 1338 of the family's 1478-position model. Lineage: Archaea; Methanobacteriati; Methanobacteriota; Methanomicrobia; Methanotrichales; Methanotrichaceae. The record is from RNAcentral.
UUAAAGGAAUUGACGGGGAGCACCACAACGGGUGGAGCUUGCGGUUAAUUGGAUUCAACGCCGGAAAUCUUACCGGGACCGACAGCAAUAUGAAGGCCAGGCUGAAGACUUUGCCGGAUUAGCUGAGAGGUGGUGCAUGGCCGUCGUCAGUUCGUACUGUGAAGCAUCCUGUUAAGUCAGGCAACGAGCGAGACCCACGCCCACAGUUGCCAGCGUACUCUCUGGAGUGACGGGUACACUGUGGGGACCGCCGCUGCUAAAGCGGAGGAAGGAAUGGGCAACGGUAGGUCAGUAUGCCCCGAAUAUCCCGGGCUACACGCGAGCUACAAUGGUUGGUACAAUGGGUAUCUACCCCGAAAGGGGACGGGAAUCUCCUAAAACCAAUCUUAGUUCGGAUUGAGGGCUGCAACUCGCCCUCAUGAAGCUGGAAUCCGUAGUAAUCGCGUUUCAACAGAACGCGGUGAAUAUGCCCCUGCUCUUU